ACGCUCGACACCUACGGAGCAGCAGUGGGGAAUAUUGCACAAUGGGGGAAACCCUGAUGCAGCGACGCCGCGUGAGCGAAGAAGUAUUUCGGUAUGUAAAGCUNUANNNGAGGAAGAAUGACGUCNANAAGACGCACGCUAAUACGUGCCAGCAGGACGCGGUAAGUCGUGGGACGUCGGGGCCUAGGGCAAGGC
Molecule: ribosomal RNA, 195 nt
Filed under: uncultured bacterium
Lineage: Bacteria
Description: partial 16S ribosomal RNA
Rfam family: Bacterial small subunit ribosomal RNA
Source: RNAcentral